Molecule: long non-coding RNA, 627 nt
Organism: Sarcophilus harrisii (Tasmanian devil)
Lineage: Eukaryota; Metazoa; Chordata; Mammalia; Dasyuromorphia; Dasyuridae
Source: Ensembl
UUUAAAGUUAUCUUAUUUAUCUAAGUGAAAUGUAGAUUCAUACCACCAAUUGUGUUCUCUAUUAUUUUCAGAAAUCUGUGAAGAAAUUUGAAAUGCCUGGUAUUUGAGAGAGUACAAAAUUAAUUUUCAUCCCAAAAAAUCUGAAUGAUCCUUGGCAGAGGGGACCCUUAGUUGAAUGGGGAGGCUUGCUUCUGAUUUCUGGAGCUCAUUUGUGCUGGCAAACUCUGUGCUAGACUGUAUUCUGCUCUCAUGGAGAUCAGCCUAGAGAGAGUCCUUCUUCACAGGAAGCCCAAGUGUAAGCCGUUUAAACAAGCGUGCAGGAAAUAUUGGGGUAAUUACCAAGCACACGAGGGGGUCUCCAGCAUUGAGAAUGGAUUCAAAAAAUUCAUUCAGCAGAUUAAUUGAUCUUCUCCCUGAAGCUUGUCUCUGGAAACAAUUCCUAUGGAAAUUCACAGCUGAAAGUUGGGCAAGUGUAUUAUGAAAAGAUAUUUUCAUUACAGCUGUGUAUAUUUACAUAAUGUUUGAAGCCCCUUUACUUCUGCCAGAGAAGUACUGACUUCUCUUUUGAUCAUCCAAGCUUUACAACCUUGCUUUCUAAUAAAAUAGUAUUAAGUCCAUAAAGAAAAG